UUUUUUUUUUUUUUUUUUUUUUUUCCACUUGCUGUCAAUCGCUUUGUUUUUACCAAAC
RNAcentral lists this non-coding RNA (58 nucleotides) under Lessardia elongata. Lineage: Eukaryota; Dinophyceae; Peridiniales; Podolampadaceae. The record is from RNAcentral.